RNAcentral lists this transfer RNA (68 nucleotides) under Marmota monax (woodchuck). RNAcentral's name for it is "tRNA.Ala". The stretch from base 5 to 65 matches the Rfam family "tRNA", at positions 6 to 65 of the family's 71-position model. From Rfam's summary of the family: Transfer RNA (tRNA) molecules are approximately 80 nucleotides in length. Their secondary structure includes four short double-helical elements and three loops (D, anti-codon, and T loops). The record is from RNAcentral. Lineage: Eukaryota; Metazoa; Chordata; Mammalia; Rodentia; Sciuridae.
GGAUUGUGGCUCAGUGGUGGAGCACUUGCCUAGCAUGCAUGAGGCACUGAGUUUGAUUCUCAGCACCA